Hippopotamus amphibius kiboko is the source of this 2096-nucleotide long non-coding RNA. RefSeq lists it as uncharacterized. The record is from RefSeq and is a predicted model, not a curated record. Lineage: Eukaryota; Metazoa; Chordata; Mammalia; Artiodactyla; Hippopotamidae. The transcript is spliced from 5 exons.
GGAGGAUGUGAUGAAGAAUGGGCGAGGGCACGCCUGUCUCAGUUUGUGUGCAUGUGGGUGUAUGCAGGUUUGUGUGCAUGUGUGUCUUGCCUGUCUGAGUGUGUGUGCAUCUCAUGGGAGCAGGACCACAGGCUCGGCGUUCUGAGGAAGGCGCUGUGGCAGCCUCUGCUCUGAGUCUACUGAGUCGUGCAAUGUGCGUCUGUUCUCCAUCUCACAGAAUCCAUGGGACUGAGGUAUGUUUGUGCUGCUUUAAGGCCCUGCCAAUUGUCUGUGGCUCAGCUUUCAGCACAACAGGCUGGAGACUGCAUAUUUCUACAUGUUAUUGAGAUAGGUUCCAAAACCCUAAGGAAAAAGAAUGCAGGCUUGUAGGACUGGCAGUACAUCUGCCCCUGCUCAGAGGAAUGCAGGGCUGUGUGUGGGUAGGAUAUGGGGUUGAGGACUAGUGUUUGGGGGCAAACCAGCUGCGAACAGUGCAGGUAAAGCAGGCUGGCCACAGCACAGGAAAUGUUAACAUGCCUUUCCUCGAGCAUCUGGCAGGAAGGGCUUCCUUUACUGCACUAAACAGGUGGCACUUUUAAUGCUGCCAACUCUCACAGAGUCUGUGCACCUAGAAAUGCAAAAGAAGCAGGGAAGGAAAAUGAGACCUGGGUACUAGUGAUGUAGAGGUGUGAUGUAGGUGGAAGGAGGCUGUUUUAGGUUUGGUUUUUUUUUAGGUUUUCUUUUUUGGUCGAAGUUUAAAUUGAUUUGCGAUAUUUUAUUAAUUUCAAGUGUACAACAUAAUGACUCAAUAUUUUUAUAGAUUAUACUCCAUUUACAGUUAUUAUAAAAUAGUGGCUAUAUUUCCCUGUUCUAUACAGUCUUGUUGCUUAUUUAUUUUAUAUCAAUAUAUAGUAGGGACUUGGUGGUCCAGUGGUAAAGAAUCCACCUUCCAAUUCAGGGGGUGCAGGUUUGACCCCUGGUCAGGGAACUAAGAUCCCACAUGUGGAGGAGCAGCUAAGCCCACGCACCACAACUACUGAGCUCGCAUGCUUCAACUACACCAGAGAGCCUGCGUGUGGCAAACUACAGAGCCCAUGUGCUCUGGAGCCUGCAAGCUGCAACUAGAGAAGAGAAAACCCACAUGCCGCAACUAGAGAGCCCGCAAUGAAGAGCCCACCAUGAAGAGCAUGCAUGCGCCACAGUGAAAGCUCCCACAGGCCUACAUGAAGUUCCCGUGUGCUGCAGCUACGACCUGAUGCAGCCCAAAAUAAGUAAAUAAGAAACAAAGUCAACAGCGCUUGGCUUUUGGGGUGAAGGUCACCACGUCACUGGUGCUGUUAAGAACACGCAGACAUGGCGUUUCGGGCCAAACUCAGCCCUGGGAAGCAGUUCCUGGAGUGGAGGAGGGCUGAUUCCCUGGCCUUGGCCAUCUGAGGAGGGACUGGACCAAGGCAGGAGGCAAUGUACUUCUACUGGACCCAGACGGUCUGGGCUUGAAUCUUGACCUUGGGUGAUUUAUCUCCAUAUCAUGAUUGGGUCCUGCUAACAGCUGAACUUUAUCUUUUAUUUCGUUCACCUGCUUUCAUUUACCAAGCUACCUGAUCCAUCACAUCGCACAAUAUACUGGGCCUAUGGUUUCCCACUGCUCUACAUUUUCCCAGACUCCCCUGUCGUUGGAUGUGGCCUGAGACUGGUUCUGCUAAUGGAUGAUGAGGGGAAGUGACUUGCAUCUUUCCUAGGUCUGGCCUCCAUGCUCUUUCCCUUCUUUGGAUCAUCCAAGUGAUGAUGCUCAGGGCAACCUUGAAAGCCACAUGUUGAAGAUGGAGGAAUUUCCAUCAGUUUGGGUGCUCGAAUGACCAAACAUUCCCUCUGGACUGUUACAUGUGCAAAAAAGAACUUUUGUUAUGUUGGAGUCAUUAUAUUCUGGGUCUGUUUGUCACCUCAGUUUAAGCUACUCCAACUAACACACUUUCCUGGCAUUUUGGAGAUCUCAAGCCUAUGUUCAGUGACAUGGAUGACUUCCCUGAAGCCAACCACUGUGCCUGUACCCAGCUAAGAACACCAGAGAUGUGGAGAAAGCACCCAGGGAAAGACAGACAGGAGGAAGCACCUGCACG